UACAGAGGGUGCAAGCGUUGUUCGGAAUUAUUGGGCGGAAAGGGCGCGUAGGCGGUGCGGUAAGUCAGGUGUGAAAUCUCGGGGCUUAACUCCGAAACUGCAUUUGAUACUGCGGUGCUUGAGGACUGGAGAGGAGACUGGAAUUUACGGUGUAGCAGUGAAAUGCGUAGAGAUCGUAAGGAAGACCAGUGGCGAAGGCGGGUCUCUGGACAGUUCCUGACACUGAGGCACGAAGGCCAGGGGAGCAAACGGG
RNAcentral lists this ribosomal RNA (253 nucleotides) under uncultured bacterium. RNAcentral's name for it is "partial 16S ribosomal RNA". It matches the Rfam family "Bacterial small subunit ribosomal RNA", at positions 524 to 776 of the family's 1533-position model. The record is from RNAcentral.